CAGUAAAAUUGUCGGUUCACUGAAAUUUAACAUUCAAAAUAGUAUUAUUGUCGUGUAUAAAUUGAUAAUAUCGCUCCCGAGUUUUUGCGCUUCAAAUUAUUUCCACGAAGACAGUUUUGGAGUUUGCUGUACAAAACACACCAUUGCUGAAAACGCGAAAGUCAAACCACUCAAAACUAUUAUUUCUAUCGGUACGAAGGUCGGGCCGAUUACACUAUCACGCCGCUUAAUAAUUAGGUCCGCUCGCAGUGGACAAGGUGGUAGUUUGAUAUAUUUUGAUAUAUCAAACUACCCUGUGAAGAUGAAUAAAUUGAAAAAUUUUGUUAAAUGCGCAAAAGCUAAUAGCAAAAAUAUAAAUAAAUGCAAAUAUGCUUAAAACAACUAACUGAUUGUUAUAAUCAAAAAGAUUUAUAGCAUGUUUGAAUCACCUCAGUAAUACAAUCAACUGUAGUUAAUAUUUAUAGUAUUACUGCAGUAGAAUACAGAUUUUUAAAAUCCGCUGCACACGAUAAAUAACCAACAGCGAAAGGAUUUGAAGCUUCGUUACUACACUUCUGACAUUCAUAAAAUGGCAUUUGUACUGCCUGGGUUUGUCAAAGACGCUUUGGACGAUACCGCCGAAAAUGAUUUGUAAUAAAUAUGAUGUAUCGUCUUUUGUUUAUCCGUAUCACAUAUUGUAUAUAUUCAUUUUCGUCGGUCAUACUUAAUUCACAGAUAUAGCCGAUAUACCUAGGUAAUGUAUAUUUGAACGUACAACUUGAAAAAUACUGCAUCAUAUACGAGUAUAUAGAUAUUUAUUCAUUAUAAUAAUAUAUAAAUAUUUAAAAUGGUGGACAAGUGGCAAAAUGACAAGUAAAAACUAAAAAAGUUAACGUUUAAGUUACACGCUGUUUUCGUUAAGAAUCGCUUUUCAUCGUUGUUUAACACAUCCGUUGCAGUUUGACACCUAUAGGUAACUGAUAAUUUCCUAAAUAGUUUAAUUUUUAUAUUUUUACAAUGCUAUUAUUUAAAUGUAAUACAUUUUUCAUUGACAUUUUUACCACAAAACUAUUUCAGCUUGACAAUUUAUUAUAUUAUACCUAACUUGGUACAUUUUUACAACUGUAUAUAAAUAUAUAAAAAAAGAAAACCAUUUAAUAUUACUUAACUACAACUACUAUUUUUUUU
Aphis gossypii (cotton aphid) is the source of this 1167-nucleotide long non-coding RNA. RefSeq lists it as uncharacterized. The transcript is spliced from 6 exons. The record is from RefSeq and is a predicted model, not a curated record. NCBI's taxonomy places the organism in Eukaryota, Metazoa, Arthropoda, Insecta, Hemiptera, Aphididae.